This 450-nucleotide ribosomal RNA is filed under the name uncultured bacterium. Its description in RNAcentral is "partial 16S ribosomal RNA". It matches the Rfam family "Bacterial small subunit ribosomal RNA", at positions 354 to 796 of the family's 1533-position model. The record is from RNAcentral.
GUGGGGAAUAUUGGACAAUGGGCGAAAGCCUGAUCCAGCCAUGCCGCGUGUGUGAAGAAGGUCUUCGGAUUGUAAAGCACUUUACGUUGGGAGGAAGGGUAGUAACCUAAUACGUUGCUACUUUGACGUUACCGACAGAAUAAGCACCGGCUAACUUCGUGCCAGCAGCCGCGGUAAUACGAAGGGUGCAAGCGUUAAUCGGAAUUACUGGGCGUAAAGCGCUCGUAGGUGGUUCAGUAAGUUGGAAGUGAAAUCCCCGGGCUCAACCUGGGAAAUGCUUUCAAAACUGCUGAGCUAGAGUACGGUAGAGGGUGGUGGAAUUUCCUGUGUAGCGGUGAAAUGCGUAGAUAUAGGAAGGAGCACCAGUGGCGAAGGCGACCACCUGGACUGAUACUGACACUGAGGUGCGAAAGCGUGGGGAGCAAACAGGAUUAGAAACCCUUGUAGUCC